RNAcentral lists this microRNA (22 nucleotides) under Alligator mississippiensis (American alligator). RNAcentral describes it as "ami-miR-192-5p". Its record names the gene ami-miR-192-5p. The record is from miRBase by way of RNAcentral. Lineage: Eukaryota; Metazoa; Chordata; Crocodylia; Alligatoridae.
UGACCUAUGGAUUGACAGCCAG